Molecule: ribosomal RNA, 539 nt
Filed under: Acanthamoeba sp. VD-2014
Lineage: Eukaryota; Discosea; Longamoebia; Acanthamoebidae
Description: SSU rRNA
Rfam family: Eukaryotic small subunit ribosomal RNA
Source: RNAcentral
GUCGUCGGGUCAAACCGGCGACUGCGUUGGCGUUGCGGGCUCGGUCCGUCGGUGCCCCACAAAGGGCUACUGGCGUGUCAACCGGCCCGCCCGUCCCCUCCUUCUGGAUUCCCGUUCCUGCUAUUGAGUUAGUGGGGACGUCACAGGGGGCUCAUCGUCGUGCGGCGUCAAAACCGUGCGGCGGUGGGUCCCUGGGGCCCAGAUCGUUUACCGUGAAAAAAUUAGAGUGUUCAAAGCAGGCAGAUCCAAUUUUCUGCCACCGAAUACAUUAGCAUGGGAUAAUGGAAUAGGACCCUGUCCUCCUAUUUUCAGUUGGUUUUGGCAGCGCGAGGACUAGGGUAAUGAUUAAUAGGGAUAGUUGGGGGCAUUAAUAUUUAAUUGUCAGAGGUGAAAUUCUUGGAUUUAUGAAAGAUUAACUUCUGCGAAAGCAUCUGCCAAGGAUGUUUUCAUUAAUCAAGAACGAAAGUUAGGGGAUCGAAGACGAUCAGAUACCGUCGUAGUCUUAACCAUAAACGAUGCCGACCAGCGAUUAGGAGACG